AACAAAUAAAAUCCCCAAAAUCGUUGCAUCCCUGUUCGUUCUUUCUAUCAGAUUGAAAAUCCCCAAAAUCCAUCUUCUCAAUUGCAACCAUAGCUCCCGAUUUUGCUUCUCAAUUUCCAUCCCAAAGCCCAUCUCUUCUCAAAUGCAACCAUGAAUUCCCGAUUGUGCUUCUCAAUCAACUGUGCGUCUUGUGGAUCUUAGUUUAGGGCUAAAGGAAAACUCGGGCGACU
This 230-nucleotide long non-coding RNA is filed under the name Panax ginseng (ginseng). Its description in RNAcentral is "long non-coding RNA (PGIN_LNC004823)". Lineage: Eukaryota; Viridiplantae; Streptophyta; Magnoliopsida; Apiales; Araliaceae. The record is from RNAcentral.